CAGCCACAAGUUUAUUAUGGCUGCCUUUUUUAUAGGGGCUUUGAAUUUCCUGGGUUAGAUAGCUGAUUAUAUGGGAUCUCUCCCCACCCUGUUCUCUGUGUGUCUGCAUCUAAGCUUGAACAGAGUUGACUAAGGUCUCUGUUACCACUUCUCUAGAAUGUGCCAGGAUCAGUGCAGAAAUAGAUUAUGUAAGUCCAUCCGAAGACUUGGUUUUAACCAGUGUUAAAAGAAGUAAAUAAAUAAAUAGGAGGAGAGAAUUGAUGGACUGCUGGUUUGACCAGUGUGGUUGGAGAGGUGGUAAUUCCAUCCUCCAAUCCACAGUCACCUUCAGAAUUCUAUAAA
Molecule: long non-coding RNA, 342 nt
Organism: Vidua chalybeata
Lineage: Eukaryota; Metazoa; Chordata; Aves; Passeriformes; Viduidae
Exons: 3
Source: RefSeq, a predicted model, not a curated record